This 777-nucleotide ribosomal RNA is filed under the name uncultured Neocallimastigales. RNAcentral describes it as "partial large subunit ribosomal RNA". It matches the Rfam family "Eukaryotic large subunit ribosomal RNA", at positions 1 to 640 of the family's 3401-position model. Lineage: Eukaryota; Fungi; Neocallimastigomycota; Neocallimastigomycetes; Neocallimastigales. The record is from RNAcentral.
UUACUAGAGUAGCACUCGCAUAUCAAUAAGCGGAGGAAAAGAAACUAACAAGGAUUCCCCUAGUAACGGCGAGUGAAGCGGGAAGAGCUCAAAUUUGAAAUCUUAAAGGGUUUCCCUUUACGAAUUGUAGUUUAAAGAAGUGUUUUCUGUUGAGGUUUUGGUAAAAGUUCUUUGGAAUAGGACAUCAUAGAGGGUGAGAAUCCCGUAUUUGACCUUUACUUUCAACUUUGUGAUACACUUUCAAAGAGUCGGAUUGUUUGGGAAUGCAGUCCAAAAUGGGUGGUAAAUCUUCAUCUAAAGCUAAAUAUUGGCGAGAGACCGAUAGCGAACAAGUACCGUGAGGGAAAGAUGAAAAGAACUUUGAAAAGAGAGUUAAACAGUACGUGAAAUUGUCAAAGAGGGAAGCGUUUGACACCAGUGUUGUUUUUCUGAAAAUCAAUUAAAGAACUGUUUAUGCUAAGCUGUUUAGACUUUAUCAGCUAUCUGUUUAGUUUUAGGCUUUUCUUUAGUGCACUUUUCAGUUAACAAGUCAACAUCGAUUUCUUUUGCUGUAAAAAAGCUUGAGGAAGGUGGCUUGAGAUUCGUCUUAAGUGUUUAUAGCCUCUUGCCUAUGCAGUCGGAGAGAUUGAGGUCUGCAGCGUAGAUCCUUCGGGGCUAAAUGCAUUUGUGCUAAGUUAUAGCAUUUUAUAGACAACUUGUUGACUAUGAUUUGUCUUGUAGCUUACUCGCUUAUGUUAUUUUACCUACGCUUAGGAUGUUGAUCUACAGAGCGAGAGU